Molecule: long non-coding RNA, 3411 nt
Organism: Callithrix jacchus (white-tufted-ear marmoset)
Lineage: Eukaryota; Metazoa; Chordata; Mammalia; Primates; Cebidae
Source: RefSeq, a predicted model, not a curated record
CGUUCCUCCAUAGAGGCGCUCGCUCGCCUGCCGCUGUGUAAGACGUCUCUUUGCUCUUCUGCCUUAAUUGUGAGGCCUUCUCAGCCGUGUGGAACUGUCAGUGGGCCUCAAAGGCAACAAUACAUCAGUACUGUCUGAAGAACUUCUCAAAUACGUGCUCCUUUCUAGGAUCCAGACACAAGAUAAGAAUUGGACUAUCAAAACGACUUAAAAUGUCAAAGAAUUACUCAUAAGAGACAUGGUAGGGAGAAGAUGUUCAUGUCCUAAUCCUCAGAACCUAUGAAAAAGUUACAUGGAAAGUGAAGAAUUAAAGUUACAGGCUGAUGGGCUACUUAGGCCUGAUGGUGCUCAAGCAAAGAUGCAGAGGCAAGCAGAAAGUUGCAGGGCUCUUAUGGCAUCGUCUCAGAAUCAAUGCUUCUGUUCUAGAGGCUGAGAAGUUCAAGGUCAAGGGACCCACAUCUGGCAGGGGCCUUCUUGCGGCAUCAUCCCAUGGUGGAAAGGAGAAGAGAAAGUGAGAGAGCAAGAGGGGCUGCCUUUAUGUUCGUAACAAGCCCACUCAAGAAAAUUAGCCACUCCCAUGAUAAGGACAUUAAUCAGUUCAUGUGGGCAGAGCCCUCAUGAACGAAUCACCUCUUAUUAGGCCCCAAGUCCCAGCCAUAUUGUAUUGAAGGUGAAAUUUUCAGCGCAUGAACUGUAGGGGGCACAUUCAAACCAUAGCACAUAGAAACAGAUCAUUGCCUUGUUAAGGUCCUGGUUUAAUGAGUGAAUAAUGGCGAUUGAUUUAUGAUUUACACAUCAAAGUAGCAGGUUCGCAAGGCUGGUCACAUUGGCAUGCUGCACUUAUUGGUAAAGAACAUUUAUUAUACGAAAAGGUAGAUGUUAUUGUUGUGUCUGAAAGAAGCUUGCCUUUUGAAUGUCUUCUGAUCUUGUUCAUUCUACUCAUUUGCUAGUUGAGUCCAUUUCCUCAGGCAUCAUACAAAGGUAAACUUUCUUUUAGUCUUUAUUUGCCUAUAAAUAGCAAAUUAAUUAAGACUGCUUUAAUAAGAUCUGCAGUGCCUACCAGCACAUGUUUAGUCUCUUCCAUACUUUUUUUUUUUUUUUUUGCUAAGAAAAGAUCAGUUUUAAUUCUUCUUUCCAUGUGUGACUUAUUAUUCAGUAAAUUCUUCAGUGCCCUUGGACUUGAUUCUCAUUCUUCUCUGUCUCCCUGAGUGAUUCACCUACAUUCCUUUGAAGUUGGUAGAGGUCUGAUACAUGAAAGAAAUAGGCAGUGUUAGGAAAGGGACCAAAAAAACGGAGCAAGCAUUUUAGACCAGGAGCUUCCGGUGCAGAAAAGGAGGGGAAGUGAACAUCUUCACAUGAGUUAUCUUCAAAUGAUAUUCUAUUUAGACAAGUAGAAAGAAUGCACCUAUAUGUCAGCACGGUACUGUGUUAUUUAUAUUUGAUAUAUGGAUAACAUGAAAAUAAAAUGUUUAUGAAAUUACAGAAAAUAUAUGAUUUCCUACUCUGUUGGCUAAACCGCCAUUAAUAGAAAAAUAGAACAAGACUUCCUUUUGGAAGCGUAGUAGCUUUGUGAAAUGCUAAAUUUUGUAAGAUGUUUUAUCUCAUAAAUCAAUAUGGAUUUCCAUAAUUGUAUCUCUUUUGUUCCAUUCCUAAUAGUAACAUUUUGACACCUACACCCACACACAUACACACACACAAACACAUACACACACAAACACACGUGUGCCUGGUAUUUUAUGUGAAACAGAAUUUUUAACAGUGAGCUAUAGAAUUGGAAAAUUAUUUGCCUAUAUUCUUAAAUUUGAUUUGGGUAGAAAAUUACUGGAAGCAGAGUCUAUCAUUUCCAGCUAGACUAAUGGUUAUUAAUAACUAAUGUUGAAGAAAUGGGGGUUUGCUGACACAGGAGCUUUCUGAAGUCAAGACUUCAGUUAGUCAUUUUAUUAGAUAGCUAUAAUAGUUACUUAUUUUUGUUUUUUGAGACAGAGUCUUGCUCUGUUGCCCAGCCAGGGUGGAGUGCAGUGGUGAGAUUUUGGCUCACUGCAAUCUCUGCCUCCUGGGUUCAAGCGAUUCUCCUGCCUCAGCCUCCAAAGUAGCUGGACUAUAGCUGCCUGCCACCAGGCUGGUAAUUUUUGUAUUUUGAGUAGAGAUGAGUUUCACCAUAUUGACCAGGCUGGUCUCGAAUUCCUGACUUUGUGAUCUGCCUGCCCCAGCCUCCCAAAGUGCUGGGAUUACAGGCAUGAGCCAUUGCACCCAGCUCAAAUUUGUGAACUUUUCCAAUCAGUUUUCCUCUUAUUCACUAAGUGCAGGUUAUAAUUACUCAUUAAUGGCAUUAUUAAUAUAGUUUUAAUUAUCUCAACUAGUUAACAAAGCCAAUGCAUAUCAUCAUAAAAAUAAAUGUCACUACAACAGAAUAACUUUAAAAACAGUGCAGACUCUCAAAUUUGUUUCCCCAGAGCUUAAGUACUUGUCUUAGAGGAGUCCAAGUCCUGUUUGGCUCACAUGUUUACUGACAUUGCAUCAUGGCCCUUCUUCUGCACUCCUGAUAAUGGUUUGUCUGUUGGAUGCAAUGUUCAUGCUUCUAGUCAUUCGUUUCAUAUAGAAUUCACUGAUUGCUGUAUUAACAGCUUUAAUUUAGGAGAGAGAAAUAAUUUAGCUACAAAGAUAACACAAUCUGUUUCCAGAAAAGUAUGCAUAGCUGAGAGAGGAAUAUUUUUAGUGUUCUUAUGAUGUUUUUACCAUAGUAGGAUAAUGGGCAGGAGUGUGUGCAUGGAGAAGGUGAUCAGCUAGACUCAGAGAUCUAAUGUGAUUUGUUUGACUCACUGGAAUUGCCUAAAUCAUAAAUAAGUUUUUGUAGUAAUUGUGUUAAGGCAUACAUUUCAAAAGGUAUAAUUUAUAUUCAACCAUUCAAAUAACAAUUUGACACAUGCUUUGAUUUGCAUUCAAGCAUAUCAAAAGCAUGUGUCAAAUUGUUAUUUAAUUUAUUAAUGAAGAAACCUACAGGAUGGGAAAGCUGAUUCAGAAGAAAAUUGGUAGAUUAUGCGUGGUUACUAGAAUAAAUAAUGCUGGAAUAAGGUUGCACGAAAGCAUUAAUAGUGAUGUCCUGCAGAACAAUUGAAAUUAUACCCUUUUUGUGGCCUUUUCUAUCAGAAAAUAAUUAUUGCAUCUUUAUUAGUCAAAAUUAUUUAUAACUGAUUGUUUUACAAGUCUAACUUUAUAUAGUCUGGGCUUGAUCAAUAGUGAACAAUAAGUCAAAAAUUGGUACCUUUCCCUAAAGAAUUAGAUAAUAGUUGGUUGGGUCUCUUAUAUGCAGCAGUAUAAUAUUGCAAACAAAUUCAUUUGAGUUUCACUUUCAAGUUUUCGAUAGCAUUUUAUUAAUAAUUAUGAUUUCUGGAAUAAGCUGUAAACGCAUUU